AUGGUGCCACCAACCCACCAUCUCUUCCCUCCCACAGCUCAUCGCCGACGGCCUCUCCUCUCCCAUCCGCUUCCCUCCCACAGCACGCGGAAUGCCUCCUCCCUGAUCCAACGCACCGCCGCCUCCUCCCCGAUCCAGAUCCAAUGCGUCAUCGCCUCCUCCCUGAUCCAGAUCGACACGUCGGCUCUCUUACCUUGCUGGCAGGUUCCUCCGCCGUCGCUGCCCCCUCCUCCCCCUGCCUCGGCCAUCCUCCCUUCCGCCACCCCCGCCUGCUCCGCCUACUGCACCGCCGCCUCCGACGCCAUGUUGGACACGGACAGCAGUAGCAACCCGCUGCUCGCCGACUUCGACUUCCCACCCUUCAGCCGCGUCGAGCCCACACACGUACGCCCCGGGAUCCGCGUGCUCCAUGCCUGCCUCUUGAUUCUUGGGCUUGGACAUGGAGAGGUAGACUAG
Molecule: ribosomal RNA, 456 nt
Filed under: Triticum aestivum (bread wheat)
Lineage: Eukaryota; Viridiplantae; Streptophyta; Magnoliopsida; Poales; Poaceae
Description: partial small subunit ribosomal RNA
Source: RNAcentral